GCCAGCGUAGCUCAGGGGUAGAGCAGCUGUCUUGUAAACAGCCGGUCGUCGGUUCAAAUCCGGCCGCUGGCU
RNAcentral lists this transfer RNA (72 nucleotides) under Balneolaceae bacterium. RNAcentral's name for it is "tRNA-Thr". It matches the Rfam family "tRNA". From Rfam's summary of the family: Transfer RNA (tRNA) molecules are approximately 80 nucleotides in length. Their secondary structure includes four short double-helical elements and three loops (D, anti-codon, and T loops). RNAcentral also lists the same sequence under 4 other names. The record is from RNAcentral. Lineage: Bacteria; Pseudomonadati; Balneolota; Balneolia; Balneolales; Balneolaceae.